AACGAACGCUGGCGGCAUGCCUAACACAUGCAAGUCGAACGAGACCUUCGGGUCUAGUGGCGCACGGGUGCGUAACGCGUGGGAACCUGCCCUUAGGUUCGGAAUAACUCCCCGAAAGGGGUGCUAAUACCGGAUAAUGUCUUCGGACCAAAGAUUUAUCGCCUUUGGAUGGGCCCGCGUUGGAUUAGCUAGUUGGUAGGGUAAAAGCCUACCAAGGCGACGAUCCAUAGCUGGUCUGAGAGGAUGAUCCGCUACACUGGGACUGAGACACGGCCCAGACUCCUACGGGAGGCAGCAGUGGGGAAUAUUGGACGAGGGGCGAAAGCCUGAUCCAGCAAUGCCGCGUGAGUGAUGAAGGCCUUAGGGUUGUAAAGCUCUUUUACCCGGGAUGAUAAUGACAGUACCGGGAGAAUAAGCACCGGCUAACUACGUG
RNAcentral lists this ribosomal RNA (433 nucleotides) under uncultured bacterium. RNAcentral's name for it is "partial 16S ribosomal RNA". It matches the Rfam family "Bacterial small subunit ribosomal RNA", at positions 29 to 507 of the family's 1533-position model. The record is from RNAcentral.